Molecule: long non-coding RNA, 528 nt
Organism: Orussus abietinus
Lineage: Eukaryota; Metazoa; Arthropoda; Insecta; Hymenoptera; Orussidae
Exons: 3
Source: RefSeq, a predicted model, not a curated record
GAAGAAGAACGGAAAAUGCGAAAGUAGUGUCUGUUUUACAAAUUGAAUAGUCCGAUAGAUUUCAUAGAUUAGGUAUCGAUUUAUACACAGUCAUUACAAACAUAUAAAGAAAACUGCAAUUUGUAAAUGAUUCAAAACAUGAUUCAACUACAUGUUCCACGAAAAUUAGAUUACUGGUGAGUCAUUGAGUAAGAAAUGAAUCUACACUUUGUCUAUACGCGUUAGCACUGGUAGAAACGGCCUUGACAUUUGGCUCACUGCCAGGCGUUUUACGCUGUCAAGUGUUGUGCGUGAGUCAACCAUUUUCGAGGAUUCCUUCGCUUUCCCGGAGGGAAAGAAGAAAACGAACAGGAAGAGGAAAAUGAAUCCCCAGGAGGACACCAAGUCCAGACGAACAUUUGGCACAAACUCAUCUGGUUCGGCAGUGUUUGGAUUGGUAGUUGGCUCGUCCAUGGUAUCGCCUGUGCGUAUUAGGGCCCCUGGAGAUCUUUGCCUGUUGCCACCUUUCAUGCUUAUACUGCUGCCACC